UUCCGUAGGUGAACCUGCGGAGGGAUCAUUACACAACAAAAUAUGAAGGCCUUGGCUUCGCGGCCGGCUGAAAUAUUUUUUUCACCCAUGUCUUUUGCGCACUUGUUGUUUCCUGGGCGGGUUCGCCCGCCACCAGGACCAAACCAUAAACCUUUUUUUUAUGCAGUUGCAAUCAGCGUCAGUAAAAACAAUGUAAUUAUUACAACUUUCAACAACGGAUCUCUUGGUUCUGGCAUCGAUGAAGAACGCAGCGAAAUGCGAUACGUAGUGUGAAUUGCAGAAUUCAGUGAAUCAUCGAAUCUUUGAACGCACAUUGCGCCCUUUGGUAUUCCAAAGGGCAUGCCUGUUCGAGCGUCAUUUGUACCUUCAAGCUUUGCUUGGUGUUGGGCGUUUUUUGUCUCCCUCUUUCUGGGAGACUCGCCUUAAAACGAUUGGCAGCCGGCCUACUGGUUUCGGAGCGCAGCACAUAUUUUGCGUUUGUAUCAGGAGAAAAGGACGGUAAUCCAUCAAGACUCUACAUUUUUAACUUUUGACCUCGGAUCAGGUAGGGAUACCCGCUGAACUUAAGCAUAUCAAUAAGCGGAGGAAA
RNAcentral lists this ribosomal RNA (589 nucleotides) under Bipolaris sorokiniana. RNAcentral's name for it is "eukaryotic LSU rRNA". The stretch from base 204 to 357 matches the Rfam family "5.8S ribosomal RNA". Lineage: Eukaryota; Fungi; Ascomycota; Dothideomycetes; Pleosporales; Pleosporaceae. The record is from RNAcentral.